ACCCGCUGAACUUAAGCAUAUCAAUAAGCGGAGGAAAAGAAACCAACAGGGAUUGCCCUAGUAACGGCGAGUGAAGCGGCAACAGCUCAAAUUUGAAAUCUGGCCCUAGUGGUCCGAAUUGUAAUUUGUAGAGGAUGCUUUGGGCGCGGUGCCUUCCGAGUUCCUUGGAACAGGACGCCUUAGAGGGUGAGAGCCCCGUACGGUUGGACACCAAGCCUAUGUAAAGCUCCUUCGACGAGUCGAGUAGUUUGGGAAUGCUGCUCUAAAUGGGAGGUAAAUUUCUUCUAAAGCUAAAUACCGGCCAGAGACCGAUAGCGCACAAGUAGAGUGAUCGAAAGAUGAAAAGUACUUUGAAAAGAGGGUUAAAUAGCACGUGAAAUUGUUGAAAGGGAAGCAUUUAUGGCCAGACCUUUGCUAGGUGGAUCAUCCGGUGUUCUUCACCGGUGCACUUCGCCUAGCUUAGGCCAGCAUCGAUUUCUGUAGGGGGAUAAAGGUCUAGGGAACGUAGCUCUCUUCGGAGAGUGUUAUAGCCCUGGGCGUAAUACCCUUACGGGGAUCGAGGUUCGCGCUCGGCAAGGAUGCUGGCAUAAUGGUCAUCAAUGACCCGUCUUGAAACACGGACC
RNAcentral lists this ribosomal RNA (623 nucleotides) under Eutypella sp. 1 DACA-2015. RNAcentral's name for it is "eukaryotic LSU rRNA". It matches the Rfam family "Eukaryotic large subunit ribosomal RNA", at positions 23 to 667 of the family's 3401-position model. The record is from RNAcentral. Lineage: Eukaryota; Fungi; Ascomycota; Sordariomycetes; Xylariales; Diatrypaceae.